UACGUAGGGUGCGAGCGUUAAUCGGAAUUACUGGGCGUAAAGCGUGCGCAGGCGGUUCGUUGUGGUCGGCGGUGAAAGCCCCGGGCUCAACCUGGGAAUGGCCGUUGAAACUGGCGAACUGGAGUGUGGCAGAGGGGGGUGGAAUUCGCGUGUAGCAGUGAAAUGCGUAGAGAUGCGGAGGAACACCGAUGGCGAAGGCAGCCCCCUGGGUCGACACUGACGCUCAGGCACGAAAGCGUGGGGAGCAAACAGG
Molecule: ribosomal RNA, 253 nt
Filed under: uncultured bacterium
Lineage: Bacteria
Description: partial 16S ribosomal RNA
Rfam family: Bacterial small subunit ribosomal RNA
Source: RNAcentral